Molecule: ribosomal RNA, 460 nt
Filed under: uncultured bacterium
Lineage: Bacteria
Description: partial 16S ribosomal RNA
Rfam family: Bacterial small subunit ribosomal RNA
Source: RNAcentral
CCUACGGGGGGCAGCAGUGAGGAAUAUUGGUCAAUGGACGAGAGUCUGAACCAGCCAAGUAGCGUGAAGGAUGACUGCCCUAUGGGUUGUAAACUUCUUUUAUAUGGGAAUAAAAUGUUCCACGUGUGGGAUUUUGUAUGUACCAUAUGAAUAAGGAUCGGCUAACUCCGUGCCAGCAGCCGCGGUAAUACGGAGGAUCCGAGCGUUAUCCGGAUUGAUUGGGUUUAAAGGGAGCGUAGGUGGAUUGUUAAGUCAGUUGUGAAAGUUUGCGGCUCAACCGUAAAAUUGCAGUUGAUACUGGCAGUCUUGAGUACAGUAGAGGUGGGCGGAAUUCGUGGUGUAGCGGUGAAAUGCUUAGAUAUCACGAAGAACUCCGAUUGCGAAGGCAGCUCACUGGACUGCAACUGACACUGAGGCUCGAAAGUGUGGGUAUCAAACAGGAUUAGAUACCCCAGUAGUC